CCAGUGGGGUGGGGGUGGGGGCCACGGAUGCCCUUGCAGAACAGCGCGGCUGCUGCUGCAGGGUCCCUGUGGGACGAGGCCCGCGGGCUCCUGGCAAGGGAUGCCUGAAAUAAGAGCCUUGGAUUUCACCUCCCGGAGCCGCACUCAGACAGGAGUCAUUCAUUAUCAAAUCUCUGCCUCUCCUAGGGCCUGAUUUUGGAAGCUGAGCUGACAAGCUUCCCAGGGCUUCCCCUCGGGGUUAGAAUUUCUAAUGGCAGGCCUUCUGCUGCCUGGCCCUGGGUGGGGGGCAGGGGGGUGGGGCGGGGGGUGGCGGUGACACUGCCUGGUGCGGGGACCCUGCCUGCCUCUCCCGGGUGGGCUGGAAGGAGGUGCGGGGGUGCCCGGCUGGCCCUGCCCUGCCGUGGGCGGCUCCAGCUGCUGCAGCCCCGCCGGCCACCCCACUCCGGCUGCCGGAGUCGCCAGGGGCUGAAGGGCGGUGGCGGGGUCUUCAGCUGCCCGUGCAAUGCGCCACAGCCCCGUGGAGGCCCGUCUCUUCCUCCUACCGAGUGUUAAAUUGGGAAAGGAGGCAGCAAGAAGCUGUAAAUACAUCAUGAGGCCGGGAAAUGUCUUUAAAUAAACACAAGGAGGCCUGGGCCGCAGGCCCGGGAGAGGCAAAGAGGCAGGGCUGGACCCACGGAGCGGACGAGUCCUCCUCUGACUCUCCUGUAACGACUCUCGCAGCCGUCAGAGAGGCAGUCCACCUCCUCACGGAUGGCCCCGCCCGAGGCCUUGAGCUCUGGAAGAGUCUACGCGGACCGCCGAGGCUGAAAGAGACGGAGCGGAGGGAAAGGCAGAGGAUGCGAAUCAAACAAGGCCCGUGUGUCACCCGCGCUGAGCGAAGACAUAAACUGAGGCGAGGCCACGUCGCCCUCGUCACGCGGCCGCCAGGACCGCGGGAGGCGCGGGACGCCCGUGUUCACGGCUCUGGCUCCCCGGCCCCGAGCAGACAGCUGCUGGUUCACACACCGCCCAGGCGGGAGGCGGUGCCAUGUGGCUCGGACCCUCCCACAGCCGGGAGUGCAGUGGACUGGGCGGCGCUGCGAAGCGGGCCAGAACCCGGCGCUCGGCUCGGGGGACUUCUCAGGGAAGGGCAAGGUGCCAGCAGUGCCAGGCUGCCUUGGAGGUGCUGCUCGAGCCGCCCUGCUCCCCGGGUGUGA
RNAcentral lists this long non-coding RNA (1196 nucleotides) under Capra hircus (goat). RNAcentral describes it as "lncRNA (ENSCHIG00000005304.1)". Lineage: Eukaryota; Metazoa; Chordata; Mammalia; Artiodactyla; Bovidae. The record is from RNAcentral.